Nicotiana attenuata is the source of this 716-nucleotide long non-coding RNA. RefSeq lists it as uncharacterized. The record is from RefSeq and is a predicted model, not a curated record. The transcript has 3 exons. Lineage: Eukaryota; Viridiplantae; Streptophyta; Magnoliopsida; Solanales; Solanaceae.
CAUGUAUGUAAUUUCUCUGUUUUGCUCAUGCAAAUUGGGAAAUUUAUACCCAGGUGCAAGUUUGUGAGAAGUACUGCAGUGUUAUUUGUUCUUUGGAUAGAUAUUUGAGCUAGAAUCGAUGAAUGAUUUUACAUAAUACGUAGAAGAUCCCAAAAUAUGAGAAAAUUGGGUGUUACGUGAAGUGAUACUUGUAACAAUUCGAUUACGAGAGAAUCAAGAAAUACAAUGAUUUUUAUGCGUAAAUAAAAGUUCACGAGAGUCGAAACUUUUGAUGUAAAAGGGCGACCACAACUAUGAUAGUGAGUCGACUAGCUUUCACCAGGUAUUUAGUUCACUCACAAGAGCAACAUUUGCACUCAAUGUGAUAUUUGAAAGCAUUGAAAAGAAGCUAUGCCAUGUGUGUGCUAUCAAUUGCAAUUUUUCACUUUGCAAUGGUUAUGAAUUUGCUCCUAAGCUUGAAGAUGUGGGAUUAUCUUUUUUGAGAAAUCCCAUUGACAUCAUAGUAGUGAGCAGUAUACCUUUACUGAUCCUUCAUUGUGGAGUUUGAACAACUUCUUGAUAGAUGCUACACAUCUCUGCUUGUUCACUUCCACUCAUUGUAGAAAUCUACAGGGUGAGUCAUCCAUCCUUGAGUUAUAUGCAUUUACAUUUGCAGCAAGUGUGAGGAAAUUUGUGCACCUCAAGUACAAGAGUUCCGCUGUAUAAAACACAAAAAC